AUUGAAAACCAAAGUAAAAGCCCAAUUCGUCAAAUCCACCUUCUUACUACCAUUAUUAUUACUCGUUGAAAAUCUGUACAAAGAACGGAUAAAAGUUCCAAUUUCUUGAUCUCUCAGAGUAGAACUCUUUUGAAGGCUCUGCGAAGAAAAUAACUCUACGACAGUCAAACGACGAAGAAUCCUCCAAAGUUGUCCAUAAGGUGCCCAAACGUAAACAAUAUAAUUGAAGGUGAAUUUGUCACCGGCUAAUGUUUUAGGUCUGUUUGCAAAUAUAACAUCAUUUUUGGUUAAACAUUCUUCGACAGCAGAUGGCGAAGACACAACAAUCACAGGCAUAUUAUAGCCUAAUUUGAGGUAUAAAACAGGGCCAUAUU
Long non-coding RNA from Solanum stenotomum, 374 nucleotides. RefSeq lists it as uncharacterized. The transcript has 2 exons. Lineage: Eukaryota; Viridiplantae; Streptophyta; Magnoliopsida; Solanales; Solanaceae. The record is from RefSeq and is a predicted model, not a curated record.